RNAcentral lists this ribosomal RNA (197 nucleotides) under uncultured delta proteobacterium. RNAcentral describes it as "partial 16S ribosomal RNA". It matches the Rfam family "Bacterial small subunit ribosomal RNA", at positions 337 to 525 of the family's 1533-position model. The record is from RNAcentral. Lineage: Bacteria; Deltaproteobacteria.
UCCUACGGGAGGCAGCAGUGAGGAAUAUUGCGCAAUGGGCGAAAGCCUGACGCAGCAACGCCGCAUGAGUGAUGAAGGCUUUCGGGUCGUAAAGCUCUGUCGAGGGGAAAGAAGUGUACGGGGGCUAAUAUCCUUUGUACUUGACGGUACCCCUAAAGGAAGCACCGGCUAACUCCGUGCCAGCAGCCGCGGUAAUA